UCUAUCUCUAUUGAUUUGUUCUUGCACACCUUUGUCAAUUAUUUUACUCUUUUCAAAUCUUAAUUCCAUUUCUAUCCAUUUACUCAUGUUAUUGAUGUGGUCACAACUUGCUUCAUGCAUUUUACGCUUUUUACCAAUAUUUUUCCAAUCAUUUACUCCAUCAUGUGCCAAUUGGGUUCUGAUCCCAUCAUUCUUGAAUAGCUUACAAUAAAAGCAAAAUACUUUAUCCAAACUUUUUAAAUAUAUCAACCAUUUUCUAUCAUACUUCUCUCCAUUAGGUAUUCGUCGAACGUAAUGUGUGGAUGAGAAGUGUCGAUUUGCUCCAUCUUUCGGAAAAAUCAUAUCAUCUUCUCUUACAGGACCUUUCAUUACAAUUAAAUCUCUUAAAUUCGUAUUCAUAUUUCCCCAAUUUGCUAGAUCAACAUGGUCAAGAGAAAAUGGUUCAUUAUCUUUGUCAGUAGAUACCUCUUCAUUCAUCACACAAUGUCCUUCUUCAAUUGUAUUAUUAUUGUUGUCAUUCUCAUUUAACACUUCUUCAGUAGCUAUGUCAUCGUUGUGUGUUCGUUUACUACUACCAAAAAACUUAUCAAGUGCUCCCUCUUGAGAUUUAAUCAAUUUUUCAAUCUUUUCCUUCCUU
Molecule: long non-coding RNA, 637 nt
Filed under: Olea europaea subsp. europaea
Lineage: Eukaryota; Viridiplantae; Streptophyta; Magnoliopsida; Lamiales; Oleaceae
Source: RNAcentral